Non-coding RNA from Castor canadensis (American beaver), 6222 nucleotides. The record is from RefSeq and is a predicted model, not a curated record. NCBI's taxonomy places the organism in Eukaryota, Metazoa, Chordata, Mammalia, Rodentia, Castoridae.
GUCACUGGUCGCCCGCCACCCUCGGGCCCUUUGCCACUCGCUUCCACUCAUCCGCCCUCAGGUGGUGCAGCCGAGCCCUCAGGUCCCGGCUGCCAUUGCGCGGACAGGUGAGCCGCUCCCAGACGCAGGGCCCUUCCUCCCCCGCGCCUCCAGAUGGGCAGUGGGAGGCUCUGGAGGCCGUGUUCAGGCUUUGAGCUGUCCUAGAGCUACAGACCUGCUGGGCGUACACCACAGACAUGGCCCAGCCACUGUCUUUAGUCUUUGAUGUCCCCGAGAUGGAUGGGGACGAGGACCAGGAGCCCAGCCCAUAUGAGGAGAGCGAAGUACACGACUCCUUCCAUCAGCUCAUUCAAGAGCAGAGCCAGAGGGCAGCCGAGGAGGGGCUGGAGCUGCAGCAGGUGGCCAGAACCCUGGGGGCCCCAGGCAGUGAUCAUCAGACUCAUCUGGGGCCCGAGGGUGGCCCUGUCCACCACACAGCUACACUCCGCAUCUUGGCCAGCAUGCCGAGUCGCACCAUCGGCCGUAGCCGUGGGGCCAUCAUCUCCCAAUACUACAAUCGCACCCUGCAGCUUCGGAGAAGGAGCAGCCGGCCCCUGCUGGGGAGCGUGGUACGCUCGGCCCGGCCCAGCCUCCGCCUGUAUGACCUGGAGCUGGACUCUGCAGCCCUGGAGGAGGACGAGAAGCGGAGCCUCCUGGUAAAGGAGCUUCAGGGUUUGUCGGUCACCCAGCGUGACCACAUGAUUCGGGGGAUGCCCUUGAGCCUGGCUGAGAAGCGCUGGCUGAGAGAGAAGAGCUGGACCCCAAGAGGGAAAAGGAAGGGCCAGCAGGGCCGUGGGGUCUCCGGCUGCAGCCGACUCAGAUACAGCUGCCUCCUGGCCCUGCACAGCCUGGGGCUGGCUCUUCUCUCAGGCUUGUAUGCCAGGUGGCCGUGGCACUAUGCCCUGAAGCAGAUCGGAGGUCAGUUCGGCUCCAGUGUGCUCUCCUACUUUCUGUUCCUCAAGACCCUGCUGGCCUUCAACGUGCUGCUGCUGCUGCCACUGCUGGCCUUCCUCGUGGGCGUCCAGGCCGCCUUCCCACCGACUCCACUGGGCCCUGCCCCCACCUUCACGGGGCUGGAGCUCCUCACAGGCAGGGGCUCCUUCACCCAUACUGUCAUGUACUAUGGGUACUACAGUAACACCACGCUGAACCAGCCGUGUCCCCCGCCACAGGAUGGAAGCCAGUGUGACCCUGGGGCUGGUGGCCUACCUUACAACAUGCCCAUGGCCUACCUCUUCACUGUGGGGGCGGCCUUUUUUAUCACUUGCAUCACCCUAGUGUACAGCAUGUCCCACUCUUUCGGGGACAGCUACCGGGUGGGCAGCACGAAGGGUGUUCACGCCCUCACUGUCUUCUGCUCCUGGGACUGCAAGGUGACCCAGAAUUGGGCCUCCCGCAUCCAGCAGGACAGCAUCCGCACUCAGCUGAAGGAGCUGCUGGCUGAGUGGCAGCUGUGCAGGGAACCCCGGAGUGUGUGUGGCCGGCUGCGACAGGGGCUCGUGCUGGGGCUGGUGUGGCUGCUGUGUCUGGGGAUCACACUGGGCUGCACAAUGGCUGUCCUCACCUUCUCGGAGGUCAUGAUUCAGAGCUCUGUGGCUGGUGGCCAGGAGGUGGGGCUGCUGGCCCUGCCCCUGGUGGUCAGCCUCCUCAACCUGGGAGCCCCCUACCUGUUCCGUGGCCUAGCUACCCUGGAGUGGCACGACUCCCCAGUGCUGGAGGUGUAUGUGGCCAUUUGCAGGAACCUCCUCCUCAAGGUGGCGCUCCUUGGUGUUCUUUGUUACCACUGGCUGGGCCGCAGGGUGGCCGUGCUGCAGGGCCAGUGCUGGGAGGACUUUGUGGGCCAGGAGUUGUACCGGUUCAUGGUGAUGGACUUCCUCUUCACGCUGCUCGACACACUGUUUGGGGAGCUGGUGUGGAGGCUCAUCUCAGAGAAAAAGCUAAAAAGGAGGCGGAAGCCUGAGUUUGACAUCGCGCGGAAUGUUCUGGAUCUGAUUUACGGGCAGACUCUGACCUGGCUGGGUGUCCUCUUCUCACCUGUCCUCCCAGCUGUGCAAAUCCUCAGGCUGCUGCUCCUCUUCCAAGUCAAGAAGGCAAGCCUGAUGGCCAACUGCCAGGGGCCGCGGAGACACUGGCUGGCCUCCCAUAUGAGCACUGUCUUCCUCACGCUGCUCUGCUUCCCGUCCUUCCUGGGUGCAGCUGUCUUCCUCUGCUACGCCAUCUGGCAGGUGAAGCCCUCAAGCAUCUGUGGCCCCUUCCGGACCCUGGACACCAUGUAUGAGGCGGGCACCGUGUGGGUGCGGCACCUGGAGAGGGCCGGCUCUGGGGCCUCAUGGCUGCCCUGGCUGUACCACCACCUGGUGGAGAACACUUUCUUCAUCUUCCUGGUGUCGGGCCUGCUGCUGGCUGUCAUCUACCUCAACAUCCAAGUGGUGAAGGGCCAGCGGAAGGUCAUCUGUCUGCUCAAAGAGCAGAUCCGGAAUGAGGGGGAGGACAAAAUCUUCUUGAUCAACAAGCUUCACUCUGUGUAUGAGAAGAGAGAGACCAGGUGAAGCCAAGGAUGGACUGAGGCCUCUGGCUGGCAGAACCCAGGGGACUGCGCCACCACCUGCCCUACUCACAGACAGGGGAUGCCCAGGCGGAUAGUGUGGAACUCUGCUGGCCCGCUCAACACCCCCAGCUGUCCCGAUGCCACGGCUCUGCAGGCAGAGACAUGGACCUGAGACCAUGCUGGCCCCUUGAAGACACCAUGGGACACCAGGAUAGUGGACCUUCCGUUAAGCUCCACCUGAGCUGAAGAUGGAGCCAGAGGCUACACUCAGGACCAGGAAGCCAACCUGGGGAGGAAGCCAACCUGGGGAGGAAAAGAGUCAGAGAGCAAAGCCGCCUGGCCCUAUCAUCCUCUAGUGGAACCAAAGCCACUGGCCAUUAGCCAUCCCCCAUCUGGACUUGUGCUCGCUCAGUGCUGUGCCUUCCUGGGGACAGUCCCAUGGGACACUUCUGUGCUCUGCAGAUGUCCAGAGGUAGGUGCCAUUGGCUGAUGAGAGCCCUGGAGUUUACCUGGCAUCCGUCUGGGUGGCACAUGAGGACCUGCUAUAGUCCUUGAUGCUGUGUUCCUCAUGGCUCCUCCGAGCUGGGUGGUGCUUAGGGGCCUUGCAAAGCAGCUGGUGUCAAUCUUGAGUGGCCAUUUUUGACUACAUCUUGGCAUGAGUGCAGGACUGACCUGGGGUCUCUAGGCCACACCCAUCAGGUGCUGACCUGGAAGUCCUGGAUGGACCACAUAAGUAGAUCACUGCUGCUCGACUCAGUAUGACCACUGGUUCUGACUGAGUCAUUUCUGCCUCACAGCUCCUUGAAGUCAGGACAGGCUACUCAGUCAAGAGAAAAAGCUUGCCCUGGGGUUUUGCAGAAUUGCUGCAUGCUGUCACUUGUGUCCAGAGGUCCUGGAUGCAAACUGGAAUCCAGGUGUUGCUGUGAAGGGAGGCUGCAGAUGUGGCAACAUGUAAAAUUAGCUGACCUUAAGUAGAAGAGAGGAUCUGUGAUCACGCGGGUGGGUCUCAUUUGAUAAGCAGCCUUAAGAGCAGCGCUGAAGUUUCCUGAGAAGGAAUUCCUCAGCGUGCUGCUGCCCUGCAUGCUCCAGACUCACCAGCUGCACACUGGGUGGCCAGUGCUCUGUCCGUCUGUUGGCUCCAUUCUCUGAAUGCACAGCUAGGACAUCUCUCUGUGCUUCUUCCAUGGCAGCCCAUGUGUGGUGCUGGGAGGGCUGCGGAGUCACUCAUGCCCUGUGACCUCUUCACCUCCUGACCUCACCACGCCUAGCAUGUGCUGUACCUCAGAGCUACCCCGUACCUAGCUCCUGUACCUGAGGUGUCGCGUAAAUAAAGAAAAAGGCACCUGUGGUUGCUGAAUAAGGUCAGCCCAAGGCUUGGAGUUUACAAACUGCUACUUCGGUGGGUGGGAGGUCAUCACUGGCAUUUCAGGCUGAACGUGAAUCCUCUAUGCACUGCUUCUUGAUGUUUUGGUGGCAGGGUGCAACCAUGGGAUGUUCUAGGGCUCCCUGUAAGAUUUGGAAUGAGCUGGUACAGCCGUGCCCCGCAGUGGGACUCUACUGGGGGCCAAGGUUCAGAACUCUGGCCGUAGGUCACAACCACCAUCACCUAAGCCUGCGGUGGUCCUGUCGACUUAAGAGUGUCUACAAAUGAGCUGGCCUUGGAGGCCAGGUCAGGCGUGCUCCUUUUUGACGUGCACUGGCUUUCGUGGUCCAUCCAAAGGUGCUACUGCCACAAAGAAUGGUGAAACAUCCACCAUCUCUGGUAAUUCUCUAUUGAACACACAGACCACCCCCAUGGCAUCUCUCGUCUCAUCCUUUCUGUCCCUGGAAUUGACUUGCCUGACAUCACCUCUUCUGUCCAUCCCGCCGCCUCCACCAAACGCCUUGCUGCUGGCCUUUACCGUCCUGCCAUGCUGUUGCCACAACAGUGAAGACACAAAAAGGGCAGCUCUGAACCCACCAUUUUCUUGAUUCUACACAUCAGGCCUCCUUUUCACCUGUGAGUACCAGAAACCCACUUGGAUCCUCCUGCCUCACCCUCAGCAUCCUGAGGUCUGGGACUACAGGCGCUGACCACUGGGUCCAGCUCUCUUUUUUGUGUGGUGCUGGGAGUGGAGCCCAGGGCUUUGGACAUCUAGUUCAAUGAAUGAGGCUUUCACAGUUGGUGUGCAUUCUGGGUCUCGGCUUAUGUUCUGUUCCCCACCUGUUCCCUGCACACUCCCAUGUCAACGUUGAACCUGGCCACACAGGCUGUGAAAAGUAUUGCCUGCCGCUGCCUCCUCCUCCUCAUCCUCCUUGAAGCCUGAGUCCUUAAGGCCUGGCUGUUCUUACGGCACUGGACUCGGCCUCUCGGGAAGAGGCACUGUUGCGACUGCACUCCAGGCAGGUACUGAACCCCUGCUAGAGGGCCGAGCAGACCCCAGGCUGCUGCUCAGAGUGCUGAGUGCCCAUGGUGGUUCCUGUGCCCGAGUUCCACUCUUUCUCUGGUCCUUAGUUUUCUCUUGGAUUCGGCUCCUCUGUGCCCUCAACUUCCAGCAAUUCACCAUCUUCUCUGUGUGAUGCAGUUGUCUCUGGCUGGCAGGUGGACCUCUCCAUCUGAGGUGGAACUGAUGCACAUGGCAGGGAGACAGUCGGUUAGGACAACAGUGGCAUUUGCUCUGCUGUCCAGACACAUUACAAUACCGAUGGAGUGGAAGUGUUGGCACAAGACACACUCAAGGUCAUGCCAAGAGUCCUAGGGGUGGACCUGAGGUAAACAGACCAUUUCCAUUUCCAGCUGCCACCUGUAACUCUGCAGUGAAAAAGCUGAGGUCCCACUGUGCUGCCCCACAGAGGUUAGCUACUAGCUAAGAUGGCUUUAUAGAAAGAGAUGAAAAAAACAUCUAGGAGUCGCAAAAACCUUCCUUACUCAUAUCCCAUGUUUUUCUUUUGAGUCAGGUCUUGCUGUGCUGCCCAAGCUGGUCUCCAACUUCUAAGCUCCAUCUGUCCUCUCACCUCAGCCUCCUGAUCGAAUGGUAGGACCAUAGGUGGCUGGGUCUCUGAGCACUGACUGAGCUACAUCCCCAGCUGAUCGUUUUUGAUGUCCACACUCGGGCCUAGGUUGUGGUGGUCCUCAGUGCAUCUCUAGUAGCCCCUGGCCCAGCCCUGACAACACUGGUUCCCAAAUGAACCAGGUUCAGACAGCCAUGGUGGGGGCAGUGGGGCUGGGCGUGGUGGUGGUCAUGGAGCUUGGAAGCUCUGUUGUGCCUUCUAGGUUACUAAUAAGAUUUAAAUGUUAACAGCAAAGCAAAUGAUAAAACUACAAGCUGAGUUAUGAAGAUUCUGAACUUAACUAAGUCUACAUUAAAUUCUGAGGACAUCGUAAAAAAAGAGAUAGGAAAUUGGCCACAGCGGGAAGACUCUCCUAAUCUCAGCAUAUAGAGUAAAAACUGAUGAUGUCUGUCUUUGAAAAAUGAAAAACACAUUAAGUUGAAUAGCCAAGAAAAAAAUUGCAAUUUAUUAAGAUUCAACAAAGCGUUGUAGUUCUGAAAGCAACUUUCGGUGUGUGUUCUUCAACGAUCACAUUCUAUGAGGAGAGACAGUAAGAGCCACAAACUUGUUUUUAUCUCAGAGUCACAGACACCUUAAAUUCAAAA